Molecule: ribosomal RNA, 459 nt
Filed under: uncultured bacterium
Lineage: Bacteria
Description: partial 16S ribosomal RNA
Rfam family: Bacterial small subunit ribosomal RNA
Source: RNAcentral
CCUACGGGGGGCAGCAGUGAGGAAUAUUGGUCAAUGGUCGGGAGACUGAACCAGCCAAGCCGCGUGAGGGAUGAAGGUACAGAGUAUCGUAAACCUCUUUUGUCAGGGAACAAAGGCGGGGACGUGUCCCCGGAUGAGUGUACCUGAAGAAAAAGCAUCGGCUAACUCCGUGCCAGCAGCCGCGGUAAUACGGGGGAUGCGAGCGGUAUCCGGAUUUAUUGGGUUUAAAGGGUGCGCAGGCGGUCUGUUAAGUCAGCGGUAAAAGCCCGGGGCUCAACCCCGGCCCGCCGUUGAAACUGGCAGUCUCGAGUGGGAGAGAAGUAUGCGGAAUGCGCGGUGUAGCGGUGAAAUGCAUAGAUAUCGCGCAGAACUCCGAUUGCGAAGGCAGCAUGCCGGCUCCACACUGACGCUGAGGCACGAAAGCGUGGGUAUCGAACAGGAUUAGAUACCCGGGUAGUC